GGGUUGUGAGGUUAAGCGACUAAGCGUACACGGUGGAUGCCCUGGCAGUCAGAGGCGAUGAAGGACGUGCUAAUCUGCGAAAAGCGCCGGCAAGGUGAUAUGAACCGCAACAGCCGGCGAUGUCCGAAUGGGGAAACCCAGUGUGUUUCGACACACUAUCGCAACAUGAAUACAUAGUGUUGCGAGGCGAACCGGGGGAACUGAAACAUCUAAGUACCCCGAGGAAAAGAAAUCAACCGAGAUUCCCCCAGUAGCGGCGAGCGAACGGGGAGCAGCCCAGAGCCUGAAUCAGCUUGUGUGUUAGUGGAAGCGUCUGGAAAGUCGCAGGGUACAGGGUGAUACUCCCGUACACGAAAACACACAUUCUGUGAGCUCGAUGAGUAGGGCGGGACACGUGGUAUCCUGUCUGAAUAUGGGGGGACCAUCCUCCAAGGCUAAAUACUCCUGACUGACCGAUAGUGAACCAGUACCGUGAGGGAAAGGCGAAAAGAACCCCGGCGAGGGGAGUGAAACAGAACCUGAAACCGUGUACGUACAAGCAGUGGGAGCCUCUUUUAUGGGGUGACUGCGUACCUUUUGUAUAAUGGGUCAGCGACUUAUAUUCUGUAGCAAGGUUAACCGUAUAGGGGAGCCGCAGGGAAACCGAGUCUUAACUGGGCGUUAAGUUGCAGGGUAUAGACCCGAAACCCGGUGAUCUAGCCAUGGGCAGGUUGAAGGUUGGGUAACACUAACUGGAGGACCGAACCGACUAAUGUUGAAAAAUUAGCGGAUGACCUGUGGCUGGGGGUGAAAGGCCAAUCAAACCGGGAGAUAGCUGGUUCUCCCCGAAAGCUAUUUAGGUAGCGCCUCGUGAACUCAUCCUCGGGGGUAGAGCACUGUUUCGGCUAGGGGGCCAUCCCGGCUUACCAACCCGAUGCAAACUGCGAAUACCGAGGAAUGUUAUCACGGGAGACACACGGCGGGUGCUAACGUCCGUCGUGAAGAGGGAAACAACCCAGACCGCCAGCUAAGGUCCCAAAGUCAUGGUUAAGUGGGAAACGAUGUGGGAAGGCCCAGACAGCCAGGAUGUUGGCUUAGAAGCAGCCAUCAUUUAAAGAAAGCGUAAUAGCUCACUGGUCGAGUCGGCCUGCGCGGAAGAUGUAACGGGGCUAAACCAUGCACCGAAGCUGCGGCAGCGACGCGCAAGCGUUGUUGGGUAGGGGAGCGUUCUGUAAGCCGUCGAAGGUGUGCUGUGAGGCAUGCUGGAGGUAUCAGAAGUGCGAAUGCUGACAUAAGUAACGAUAAAGCGGGUGAAAAGCCCGCUCGCCGGAAGACCAAGGGUUCCUGUCCAACGUUAAUCGGGGCAGGGUGAGUCGACCCCUAAGGCGAGGCCGAAAGGCGUAGUCGAUGGGAAACAGGUUAAUAUUCCUGUACUUGGUGUUGCUGCGAAGGGGGGACGGAGAAGGCUAUGUUGGCCGGGCGACGGUUGUCCCGGUUUAAGCGUGUAGGUGUGUGCUCCAGGCAAAUCCGGUGCACUUUACACUGAGGCGUGACGACGAGGCACUACGGUGCUGAAGCAACAAAUGCCCUGCUUCCAGGAAAAGCCUCUAAGCUCCAGGCAACACGAAAUCGUACCCCAAACCGACACAGGUGGUCAGGUAGAGAAUACCAAGGCGCUUGAGAGAACUCGGGUGAAGGAACUAGGCAAAAUGGUGCCGUAACUUCGGGAGAAGGCACGCUGGCGCGUAGGUGAAGGGACUUGCUCCCGGAGCCGAGGCCAGUCGAAGAUACCAGCUGGCUGCAACUGUUUAUUAAAAACACAGCACUGUGCAAACACGAAAGUGGACGUAUACGGUGUGACGCCUGCCCGGUGCCGGAAGGUUAAUUGAUGGGGUUAUCCGCAAGGAGAAGCUCUUGAUCGAAGCCCCGGUAAACGGCGGCCGUAACUAUAACGGUCCUAAGGUAGCGAAAUUCCUUGUCGGGUAAGUUCCGACCUGCACGAAUGGCGUAAUGAUGGCCAGGCUGUCUCCACCCGAGACUCAGUGAAAUUGAAAUCGCUGUGAAGAUGCAGUGUACCCGCGGCAAGACGGAAAGACCCCGUGAACCUUUACUACAGCUUGACACUGAACACUGGUCCUUGAUGUGUAGGAUAGGUGGGAGGCUUUGAAGCGUGGACGCCAGUCUGCGUGGAGCCGCCCUUGAAAUACCACCCUUUAAUGGCUGGUGUUCUAACGUAGGCCCGUUACCCGGGCUGCGGACAGUGUCUGGUGGGUAGUUUGACUGGGGCGGUCUCCUCCCAAAGCGUAACGGAGGAGCACGAAGGUUGGCUAAUCCUGGUCGGACAUCAGGAGGUUAGUGCAAUGGCAUAAGCCAGCUUGACUGCGAGAGUGACGGCUCGAGCAGGUGCGAAAGCAGGUCAUAGUGAUCCGGUGGUUCUGAAUGGAAGGGCCAUCGCUCAACGGAUAAAAGGUACUCCGGGGAUAACAGGCUGAUACCGCCCAAGAGUUCAUAUCGACGGCGGUGUUUGGCACCUCGAUGUCGGCUCAUCACAUCCUGGGGCUGAAGUAGGUCCCAAGGGUACGGCUGUUCGCCGUUUAAAGUGGUACGCGAGCUGGGUUUAGAACGUCGUGAGACAGUUCGGUCCCUAUCUGCCGUGGGCGCUGGAAAACUGAGGGGGGUUGCUCCUAGUACGAGAGGACCGGAGUGAACGCACCGCUGGUGUUCGGGUUGUCAUGCCAAUGGCACUGCCCGGUAGCUAAGUGCGGAAGAGAUAAGUGCUGAAAGCAUCUAAGCACGAAACUUGCCCCGAGAUGAGUUUUCCCUGAGCACUUGAUGCUCCUGAAGGGACGUUGAAGACGACGACGUUGAUAGGCCGGGUGUGUAAGCGCAGCGAUGCGUUGAGCUAACCGGUACUAAUGACCCGUGAGGCUUAACCUUACAACGCCAGAGGCGUUUUG
RNAcentral lists this ribosomal RNA (2936 nucleotides) under Pantoea sp. FDAARGOS_194. Its description in RNAcentral is "bacterial LSU rRNA". It matches the Rfam family "Bacterial large subunit ribosomal RNA". Lineage: Bacteria; Pseudomonadati; Pseudomonadota; Gammaproteobacteria; Enterobacterales; Erwiniaceae. The record is from RNAcentral.